CUCAUGCUUGUGGGUGGAACCUUUACAAUUAUUCAAGGGAAUUUCUACACAAGACUACCAUUUGGCCUUUGGAAAUAUGAAGACUUAUGCUUCGGGUGUGAGACUCUCUCACCAUCUUCUUGCCUCCCACACUUCCACUCUGGGACUUCGUCUAUCAUAUGCAGCCAGCCAGUGACCUUCUAACCAGCUGCAUCUGGAGCUGAAGGACAUUGUGGUGGUGUGUUGCAUAGUGACCAAGGAGCAAGUUUCCUAGCAAUUUUGGUGUAGCAAGAAAACCUUUUAAAGGGCAUGUCGUUCAGUCAUAGUUUCAUGGCAGCAAAUUUCUCUUAUUAAGAAACAAAACAGAAGCAGAAAAAUAAAUAAAUAAAAAAAGAACAAAAACAUUUAUUUUUCCCAGUAAACUUAGUCAACUGUGACCGAGUACUUUUCUUUCCAACCUUCCUCCCUGGUUUCUGGUCAUCAGAGGAUACAGGAAAUUUAGACAUAUUUAAGAGUGUAAUACAUCCCACUGUACAAUGGUGACUUAAUUUUCCCAAACGCAGGGGCAGAGCCAGGUCUAAAACACAACUCCUACCUACCACCAGAAAUGCUGGAAAAAUACUGCUUGUCUUAGUGAAAACAGAUUAUUAUAUAUUAUGGAUAUGAGGCUGGCAUUUGAGCUUGAAAAUCAUGCAGACUGCCAAACUGGAGGGAGAGCUGUCAUCUAGCACAGGCAUAGAAACACUAAAAAUGAGCAACAAUAGUCUCCUUCUUAUGGUAAUCUGAAUUACCUUGAGCAACACUGGAAGACUAUAUAAAUAUUUCUGUUUGCAAUAUACUUCAUACAAGUUAGCAGUCUGAGGAGGAUUUGGAGCCUGGCCAUCAGUUGAGAAACUCUGUGCCAGAAGUGGAGCAAAAGCAACAUUAAAGUCUCUUAACCAGCCAAGCGAUGGUUUCUCAGCAUCCUUAUCAUGCACCUCGCGAUUGCUGGCAGGGAGACAACCAUCUUACUGGGUGCUAUUAACAGCUCAAGGUAGCGCAAUUACAAGCACCUAACUGUAUGAGGAGUUUAAUCAGUUACUAGCUUGCUCCAGAUCUGCGCUUGUGCAAAGAGCAAAUCAACAUCUAUUCAUAAGGAGCUGCAGGAGGCACAGACAAGGGUUUAGCUCCAGUACAAAAAAGCUCCAACAAAAGUCUCUCCAGCAGCUACAGAAAAGUGAAGGAGUAAAAGAAGACUAGGAAAGCAUAUUAAUAUAUCAGAUCCCUCAUCCAGAAUGUGAGAUUUACUUCAUUGCCCUGUGGUUCAUAGAGCAGCCCAUACUUCAUCAGUUUGUCUUUUGAGGAGAUUAUGGGAGACAGUGGCAAAAGCCUUUCUACAAUCAAGAUAAACCAUGCUUGCUGCUCCCCUCAUCCACCAAGCCAUUUCAUUGUUGAAGGCUAUCAGGUUAGAGUUUAGAUCAUCUUUUCAAUCAAGCUUAUCAUUUAUUUAGCACAUUCUUCUGUAAGGUAAAUAUAAUAUACAUUACAUAACAUCAAAUAUUUACAUAUAUUGUUGCUACUUCCAGAGGGUUGAUUUCAAAGUUCUCAUUAUUGUACUGCUACUAGUGAAAAUUGCUGACAAGACAGAAAAAUAGCAUGACUACGAUACUGUAACUAUUUGAUAGAUAUCAGACGUGAAACAACAGUAUCUGGAAAGUAUUUUCUAAUAAUACAGCAACUUCUAACAUUCAUAUUAACUCAGGAUAUUAUGUGAGGGCACUGAAAGUUGUUAAUUGCAUUGUUUACACCCUUAAUUGUAGAGGCAGAGUUCACACUGACACCUGCUGUUAAGACUGCCUAACUUUUCUCAUUUUAAGACCAUUUUCAGUCUCAUUGCUGAUUUAACUCUGGGGACUGACCUUUUCUGAGAUCAGUGUCAUCUUGAGAUUUAUUUCAAAGGAAAAAAAAAAAAAAAAAAAAAAAGAAAGAAUCAGUGUUUCAGAUAAAAUGUUUUUGUGAUUUUCAAGAAUGAUGUAGGGGGUUAACAGCUCGCUUACUUUGUAUGGGCUCUCUUUCAAUUACUUCAUUAAAAAGAAAAUCACUUAUCUACAUCCCUUGAAACAAGACCUCAAGAGCUGGCAGAAUUACACUUGUUGAAGUUCCUGAGAAAGGCAUCCACAGCUGGCCAAGCUAUGAGCACUGGAAAAAUCAGGCGAUACACACUGACGUAAGUGGAAGGGUAUUACAGUUUUGUAGCUAUCAUCUGUGAAGAUUCCACUUGCAUUUUCCUUUGACAAAUCGCCAGGA
This is a long non-coding RNA of Oxyura jamaicensis (ruddy duck), 2265 nucleotides long. RefSeq lists it as uncharacterized. Lineage: Eukaryota; Metazoa; Chordata; Aves; Anseriformes; Anatidae. The transcript is spliced from 5 exons. The record is from RefSeq and is a predicted model, not a curated record.